This 253-nucleotide ribosomal RNA is filed under the name uncultured bacterium. RNAcentral describes it as "partial 16S ribosomal RNA". It matches the Rfam family "Bacterial small subunit ribosomal RNA", at positions 524 to 776 of the family's 1533-position model. The record is from RNAcentral.
UACGAAGGGGGCUAGCGUUGCUCGGAAUCACUGGGCGUAAAGCGCACGUAGGCGGAUUGCUAAGUCAGGGGUGAAAUCCUGGAGCUCAACUCCAGAACUGCCCUUGAUACUGGCGGUCUCGAGUCCGGGAGAGGUGAGUGGAACUGCGAGUGUAGAGGUGUAAUUCGUAGAUAUUCGCAAGAACACCAGUGGCGAAGGCGGCUCACUGGCCCGGUACUGACGCUGAGGUGCGAAAGCGUGGGGAGCAAACAGG